CGGGACACGUGGUAUCCUGUCUGAAUAUGGGGGGACCAUCCUCCAAGGCUAAAUACUCCUGACUGACCGAUAGUGAACCAGUACCGUGAGGGAAAGGCGAAAAGAACCCCGGCGAGGGGAGUGAAAAAGAACCUGAAACCGUGUACGUACAAGCAGUGGGAGCACAGAGCAAUCUGUGUGACUGCGUACCUUUUGUAUAAUGGGUCAGCGACUUAUAUUCUGUAGCAAGGUUAACCGAAUAGGGGAGCCGAAGGGAAACCGAGUCUUAACUGGGCGUUAAGUUGCAGGGUAUAGACCCGAAACCCGGUGAUCUAGCCAUGGGCAGGUUGAAGGUUGGGUAACACUAACUGGAGGACCGAACCGACUAAUGUUGAAAAAUUAGCGGAUGACUUGUGGCUGGGGGUGAAAGGCCAAUCAAACCGGGAGAUAGCUGGUUCUCCCCGAAAGCUAUUUAGGUAGCGCCUCGUGAAUUCAUCUCCGGGGGUAGAGCACUGUUUCGGCAAGGGGGUCAUCCCGACUUACCAACCCGAUGCAAACUGCGAAUACCGGAGAAUGUUAUCACGGGAGACACACGGCGGGUGCUAACGUCCGUCGUGAAGAGGGAAACAACCCAGACCGCCAGCUAAGGUCCCAAAGUCAUGGUUAAGUGGGAAACGAUGUGGGAAGGCCCAGACAGCCAGGAUGUUGGCUUAGAAGCAGCCAUCAUUUAAAGAAAGCGUAAUAGCUCACUGGUCGAGUCGGCCUGCGCGGAAGAUGUAACGGGGCUAAACCAUGCACCGAAGCUGCGGCAGCGACACUGUGUGUUGUUGGGUAGGGGAGCGUUCUGUAAGCCUGUGAAGGUGUGCUGUGAGGCAUGCUGGAGGUAUCAGAAGUGCGAAUGCUGACAUAAGUAACGAUAAAGCGGGUGAAAAGCCCGCUCGCCGGAAGACCAAGGGUUCCUGUCCAACGUUAAUCGGGGCAGGGUGAGUCGACCCCUAAGGCGAGGCCGAAAGGCGUAGUCGAUGGGAAACAGGUUAAUAUUCCUGUACUUGGUGUUACUGCGAAGGGGGGACGGAGAAGGCUAUGUUGGCCGGGCGACGGUUGUCCCGGUUUAAGCGUGUAGGCUGGUUUUCCAGGCAAAUCCGGAAAAUCAAGGCUGAGGCGUGAUGACGAGGCACUACGGUGCUGAAGCAACAAAUGCCCUGCUUCCAGGAAAAGCCUCUAAGCAUCAGGUAACAUCAAAUCGUACCCCAAACCGACACAGGUGGUCAGGUAGAGAAUACCAAGGCGCUUGAGAGAACUCGGGUGAAGGAACUAGGCAAAAUGGUGCCGUAACUUCGGGAGAAGGCACGCUGAU
RNAcentral lists this ribosomal RNA (1336 nucleotides) under Escherichia coli. RNAcentral describes it as "partial 23S ribosomal RNA". It matches the Rfam family "Bacterial large subunit ribosomal RNA", at positions 418 to 1755 of the family's 2925-position model. The record is from RNAcentral. Lineage: Bacteria; Pseudomonadati; Pseudomonadota; Gammaproteobacteria; Enterobacterales; Enterobacteriaceae.